Rattus norvegicus (Norway rat) is the source of this 546-nucleotide long non-coding RNA. RefSeq lists it as uncharacterized. The record is from RefSeq and is a predicted model, not a curated record. Lineage: Eukaryota; Metazoa; Chordata; Mammalia; Rodentia; Muridae.
UAGAUACAGAGUUCUUUCAAAGGGCAAUUGAGGCUAAAUUUGGUCACGCAACCCAAUGUAACAGUGUCUAGGAUUAGGUCCGGAAAACCCAAGAGGAAAAUCAUAUUCAGACGGCCACCCUACUUCAUGGACAGAGAACACAGAAGAAACUAAGACUUCCAGCUCAGACUUCCAGCCACCCCAACUUAUGCUUUCUCACUUAAAGUUGGCAUGAAACAAAUGCAAGAACAGUCUAGGCGACGACUUUGAAGUUGGGGACGGACAAGCCUGUGCAAUGAUGAGGUGGAGAACAGCAUUGACCUCAGAGCUUUGCUAUUGUGACUGGAGUGUUCCAUGAAUUGCCUGUUCAAGAACCUUCAGGUUGAUGGUGUCACACACCAAAUACCCAGCAUGCUUACAGCUAGCACUGCUGUAGGAACCAGUCCAGCUCCCCAGCCCCCCACCCCCUCUUAGGCCCAAAGAUUACCCAGAGGACACUGGGUUUAUAGAAUAUUGGACCUGUGUGUGUGUGUGCCCUAGAAAGAACUACAGUAGCUGUCUACUCCA